RNAcentral lists this ribosomal RNA (253 nucleotides) under uncultured bacterium. Its description in RNAcentral is "partial 16S ribosomal RNA". It matches the Rfam family "Bacterial small subunit ribosomal RNA", at positions 524 to 776 of the family's 1533-position model. The record is from RNAcentral.
UACGUAGGGUGCAAGCGUUAAUCGGAAUUACUGGGCGUAAAGCGUGCGCAGGCGGUUGUGCAAGUCCGAUGUGAAAUCCCCGGGCUUAACCUGGGAAUGGCAUUGGUGACUGCACGGCUAGGGUGUGUCAGAGGGGGGUAGAAUUCCACGUGUAGCAGUGAAAUGCGUAGAGAUGUGGAGGAAUACCGAUGGCGAAGGCAGCCCCCUGGGAUAACACUGACGCUCAUGCACGAAAGCGUGGGGAGCAAACAGG